AUCUGUGACCAUACCACCCUGUACCUGGAAGCUAAGCAAAGUUGGGCCUGGCCAGAACUUGGAUGGGAGACCACCUUGGAAUACUGGAAGUGUUGGGCG
Rhinopithecus bieti (black snub-nosed monkey) is the source of this 99-nucleotide ribosomal RNA. The record is from Ensembl. Lineage: Eukaryota; Metazoa; Chordata; Mammalia; Primates; Cercopithecidae.